CUGACUUGGUGUGGGUCUUUGUUCACUGUCCGUCAGACCGUUGACAUAACAUCUUAUCUCUGAGGUGAGAGAAACUUCUUUGAAGUUCUGUUUCCUGCAGUCUUCUGUUUCUACUUGGUUCCUUGUUCGGUUCUUUAUGUCUGUUCCAUAACAGAGGAUUCCCUUGGACAUCUGAUGAUCCUUUACUGAUUUUUCCUGUAUGUAAGUGAGGAAAUACAAAGUUCCAGGUGCACAGAUGGGACCUGUCAAUGUGUCAGACCUCAUGGUAGAGGGAUUGAAAUUAAAACAUCAACAUCAAUAUCUGCAGAUCUUCUCCCUUGAGAUAAUCAGUUUCCAUAAAAAGGCAUCUUCCUAGUUGCUGCUUUGGUGGUGUGGGGUGGAGGGUGGGUACAGCAACGAAGUCUGUCUACCAGCAUUUAGUACACUGAGUGAGGGAAGACCAUCGCAGGGUGGGAAGUUUUCAGCUUCACUUCGCAACCCAGGCUCUGGAAGUAUGUCAUCUUCCAAUUGCUUCAUCAUUGCCUACUCUCCUAACCACAGGCAUAGCGCGUCAGAAGACUGAAACCCAACUCAGCCAACCAUCUAUUCACAUGCCAUCAUCCACGAGUUUGUUGACAUCUCUCAUUUGCUGUUGUCUCUCCUCAUUCUUUCUGUCCUCAUAGGUUUAUAAGUUUUCAUUUUCUUUCUUUAAAAACUCAUUUUAAGGACACCAUUAUUUUUAAAAAAAGCAAUAGAAAAUAACAAGUAUGGGCAAAGACGUGGAGAAAUUGGAACCGUCGCACACUGCUGGUGGAAAUGUAAAAUGGCAGAGUUCUUCAAAAAAUUAAAGUUCCAUUAUCAUAUG
Molecule: long non-coding RNA, 844 nt
Filed under: Homo sapiens (human)
Lineage: Eukaryota; Metazoa; Chordata; Mammalia; Primates; Hominidae
Description: HSALNT0314252
Source: RNAcentral